CCAGACUCCUACGGGAGGCAGCAGUGGGGAAUAUUGCACAAUGGGGGAAACCCUGAUGCAGCGACGCCGCGUGAGUGAAGAAGUAAUUCGUUAUGUAAAGUUCUAUCAGCAGGGAAGAAAAUGACGGUACCUGAGUAAGAAGCCCCGGCUAACUACGUGCCAGCAGCCGCGGUAAUACGUAGGGGGCAAGCGUUAUCCGGAUUUACUGGGUGUAAAGGGAGCGUAGGUGGCAUGGCAAGCCAGAAGUGAAAACCCGGGGCUUAACCCCGCGGAUUGCUUUUGGAACUGUCAGGCUGGAGUGCAGGAGGGGCAGGCGGAAUUCCUGGUGUAGCGGUGAAAUGCGUAGAUAUUAGGAGGAACACCAGUGGCGAAGGCGGCUUACUGGACUGUAACUGACGUUGAGGCUCGAAAGCGUGGGGAGCAAACAGGAUUAGAUACCCUGGUA
This 445-nucleotide ribosomal RNA is filed under the name uncultured bacterium. RNAcentral describes it as "bacterial SSU rRNA". It matches the Rfam family "Bacterial small subunit ribosomal RNA", at positions 331 to 792 of the family's 1533-position model. The record is from RNAcentral.